GGAGGUGUAGCUCAAUGGUAGAGCGCCCCGGUGAAAUCGGGGUAGUGGUGGUUCGAGUCCAUCCGUCUCCG
Molecule: transfer RNA, 71 nt
Filed under: Saprospiraceae bacterium
Lineage: Bacteria; Pseudomonadati; Bacteroidota; Saprospiria; Saprospirales; Saprospiraceae
Description: tRNA-Phe
Rfam family: tRNA
About the family: Transfer RNA (tRNA) molecules are approximately 80 nucleotides in length. Their secondary structure includes four short double-helical elements and three loops (D, anti-codon, and T loops).
Source: RNAcentral